GACUGAUCUGUCCACACACACAACUGGGAGGAUGUUCCCGCAUCUUCCCCCUCUCGUCCCUCAAAAAAACUGCUGUUCUCCGAGAUAGAGCCCCAGCUUGUCUCCGUCUCAGCCCCACAUGAGCCCCUCUAUGCGGAGGAAGUUAUAUCACCCUCCAGGAAUUGCUCUCCGAAUGCGACGCGAUGAAGGGCUCGAAAACAAUGGGGUCAGCUCAGUCUUGGAUGGAGCGGACGAAGACAACACUUGCUUUAAUGCGCAGAAUUAUGUCAUCGGCAGCCAGAGGUCACAUCCUGCUGUCUUUUUAAAGAUAACUCCAGCCCCUCUCUGUUUCCCUGCUCCCUUAUAAACCUGGCUCGACCCAUACCCCGUAGCAGCAAGAGCGCACAGCCCAACAUCUUGGAUUCGUUACGAGUGUCUCAGAUGCGCUCCAACUCAUAUUUCAUAUCAUUCCCCCAGCCAUAAGAUUUGAGUUUGUCACAUUUACUGGAGACUAAAGCACAAACAUGUUUUAUUCAUUAUCGGUCCUCGUCUCCGCAACAAGCACCUGCAAAACAUUUUGGCUCUAGACUGGAGCAACAAGGUUUCAUUAGACAUGACACUUUCUCCCCGGGUUGGAUGAUGAAGCUACAUUUUACUCCUGUGCUUCCAGGCUGUGAAAUUGCCUGGAGAUCAUCACCUUGUACGAACGCAGACUCCAGAGACCUCUUGGCUGAGGUGGGAAAAAGGGAUCGAGGAGAUUACGUAGAUCCGAUCACAGCGAUCGGAGGCGUUUGGGGCAGCACUGAGCUGUUUUAGCCUUGCAACACCCAAGAGAAAGCCCAAUUCUGCUUCGUCAAUGGGGAAAAAUGCCACGUGGAGGAGCACAACUGGUGCAUGUUGUCAUAGAGAUUUGCAAGAUGUUUGGAGCGGAGAGCCCCUGUUACUAUUUUGAUUUUAGCCAGCAGCCGAUAUGGGAGCAGCGGUUCAAAGCUCCUCACCGACUCCUCUCUCCCGGCCAAUGAAUAUGUAUUGGAUGCAAAACAGAAGAGCUCACCGGGAGAGGGAGAGAAGCUGUUUGCCUUGCAAAAUUCAUCAGCCCGGUGCUCAGAUGAACGCUGCAACUGAAGAAGUGAGAUUCAUGUCCCUCCUCUGAGCCCAGCCCAGCAGAGCAGAGCACGCGCCCUGAGCCACAAGCAUCACCCCUUGCACUUUGGCUAUUCAUUUCCUCAUAUCUGUCCUGCCAGCCUUCCCUGGGAUGGAGGGGCUGCCAGGAGCUCGGUUCCAAAUGCUCCCAAGCCAUUGGGUUUUAUUCCUUUACAUGGAUCACAUUUAACGCUGCAUCGCUCUCUGCUUGCUGCCCCGCACAUAUGCUCCCCAGGAGGCUUUGUUAUGGUGCUUUCCCUUUAAUUAUCUUCAUAAACGUACAGUUUUUCUCUCUUCACCUUCCCUCUUUCAUUUCCAAAGUCUUUAAUCACUUGUUUUCCACCCGUUUCGUCUUGAUUUUUCUGACACGUGCAAUAAAAACGCCAGUAAAAUAUUCA
Molecule: long non-coding RNA, 1520 nt
Filed under: Numida meleagris (helmeted guineafowl)
Lineage: Eukaryota; Metazoa; Chordata; Aves; Galliformes; Numididae
Description: lncRNA (ENSNMEG00000012130.1)
Source: RNAcentral